RNAcentral lists this ribosomal RNA (492 nucleotides) under uncultured bacterium. RNAcentral's name for it is "partial 16S ribosomal RNA". It matches the Rfam family "Bacterial small subunit ribosomal RNA", at positions 29 to 507 of the family's 1533-position model. The record is from RNAcentral.
AGUGAACGCUGGCGGUAGGCCUAACACAUGCAAGUCGAACGGCAGCACAGUAAGAGCUUGCUCUUACGGGUGGCGAGUGGCGGACGGGUGAGGAAUACCUCGGAAUCUACUUUUUCGUGGGGGAUAACGUAGGGAAACUUACGCUAAUCCCGCUUACGACCUACGGGUGAAAUCAGGGGAUCUUCGGACCUUGCGCGAUUGAAUGAGCCGAUGUCGGAUUAGCUAGUUGGCGGGGUAACGGCCCACCAAGGCGACGAUCCGUAGCUGGUCUGAGAGGAUGAUCAGCCACACUGGAACUGAGACACGGUCCAGACUCCUACGGGAGGCAGCAGUGGGGAAUAUUGGACAAUGGGCGCAAGCCUGAUCCAGCCAUACCGCGUGGGUGAAGAAGGCCUUCGGGUUGUAAAGCCCUUUUGUUGGGAAAGAAAAGCAGCAGGUUAAUACCCCGCUGUUCUGACGGUACCCAAAGAAUAAGCACCGGCUAACUUCGUG